This 463-nucleotide ribosomal RNA is filed under the name uncultured bacterium. RNAcentral describes it as "partial 16S ribosomal RNA". It matches the Rfam family "Bacterial small subunit ribosomal RNA", at positions 28 to 507 of the family's 1533-position model. The record is from RNAcentral.
GACGAACGCUGGCGGCGUGCUUAACACAUGCAAGUCGAACGGAAAGGCCUUUUCGGAGGUACUCGAGUGGCGAACGGGUGAGUAACACGUGGGUGAUCUGCCCUGCACUCUGGGAUAAGCCUGGGAAACUGGGCCUAAUACCGGAUAGGACCGCACUUUAGUGUGUGUGGUGGAAAGUUUUUUCGGUGUAGGAUGAGCCCGCGGCCUAUCAGCUUGUUGGUGGGGUAAUGGCCUACCAAGGCGGCGACGGGUAGCCGGACUGAGAGGUUGGUCGGCCACAUUGGGACUGAGAUACGGCCCAGACUCCUACGGGAGGCAGCAGUGGGGAAUAUUGCACAAUGGGCGCAAGCCUGAUGCAGCGACGCCGCGUGGGGGAUGACGGCCUUCGGGUUGUAAACUCCUUUCGCCAGGGACGAAGCGUUUUGUGACGGUACCUGGAGAAGAAGCACCGGCUAACUACGUG